Molecule: ribosomal RNA, 454 nt
Filed under: uncultured bacterium
Lineage: Bacteria
Description: bacterial SSU rRNA
Rfam family: Bacterial small subunit ribosomal RNA
Source: RNAcentral
UACGGGAGGCAGCAGGGGGGAAUAUUGCACAAUGGGCGCAAGCCUGAUGCAGCCAUGCCGCGUGUAUGAAAAAGGCCUUCGGGUUGUAAAGUACUUUCAGUCGUGAGGAAGGUGUUAAGGUUAAUAACCUUAGCAAUUGACGUUAGCGACAGAAGAAGCACCGGCUAACUCCGUGCCAGCAGCCGCGGUAAUACGGAGGGUGCGAGCGUUAAUCGGAAUUACUGGGCGUAAAGGGCACGCAGGCGGUUAAUUAAGUUGGAUGUGAAAUCCCCGGGCUUAACCUGGGAAUGGCAUUCAAGACUGGUUAGCUAGAGUCUUGUAGAGGGGGUAGAAUUCCAUGUGUAGCGGUGAAAUGCGUAGAGAUGUGGAGGAAUACCGGUGGCGAAAGGCGGCCCCUGGACAAAGACUGACGCUCAUGUGCGAAAGCGUGGGGAGCAAACAGGGAUUAGAUACC